This 480-nucleotide ribosomal RNA is filed under the name uncultured bacterium. Its description in RNAcentral is "partial 16S ribosomal RNA". It matches the Rfam family "Bacterial small subunit ribosomal RNA", at positions 30 to 507 of the family's 1533-position model. The record is from RNAcentral.
AUUGAACGCUGGCGGCAUGCUUUACACAUGCAAGUCGAACGGUAGAGGGGGCAACCCCUUGAGUGUGGCGAACGGGUGCGUAAUAUAUCGGAACGUGCCCAGUCGUGGGGGAUAACGUAGCGAAAGUUACGCUAAUACCGCCUACUACCUAAUGAUGAAAGCGGGGGAUCGCAAGACCUCGCGCGACUGGAGCGGCCGAUAUCAGAUUAGGUAGUUGGUAGGGUAAAGGCCUACCAAGCCAACGAUCUGUAGCUGGUCUGAGAGGACGACCAGCCACACUGGAACUGAGACACGGUCCAGACUCCUACGGGAGGCAGCUGUGGGGAAUUUUGGACAAUGGGCGAAAGCCUGAUCCAGCCAUUCCGCGUGCAGGAUGAAGGCCCUCGGGUUGUAAACUGCUUUUGUACAGAACGAAAAGGUUUCUAUUAAUACUAGGAGCUAAUGACGGUACUGUAAGAAUAAGCACCGGCUAACUACGUG